RNAcentral lists this ribosomal RNA (371 nucleotides) under uncultured bacterium. Its description in RNAcentral is "bacterial SSU rRNA". It matches the Rfam family "Bacterial small subunit ribosomal RNA", at positions 29 to 428 of the family's 1533-position model. The record is from RNAcentral.
AGCGAACGCUGGCGGCAGGCUUAACACAUGCAAGUCGAACGGAUCCUUCGGGAUCAGUGGCAGACGGGUGAGUAACACGUGGGAACGUGCCUUUUGGUUCGGAACAACUCAGGGAAACUUGAGCUAAUACCGGAUGUGCCCUUCGGGGGAAGGAUUUAUCGCCAUUAGAGCGGCCCGCGUCUGAUUAGCUAGUUGGUGAGGUAAAGGCUCACCAAGGCUUCGAUCAGUAGCUGGCUGAGAGGAUGAUCAGCCACACUGGAACUGAGACACGGUCCAGACUCCUACGGGAGGCAGCAGUGGGGAAUAUUGGACAAUGGGCGCAAGCCUGAUCCAGCCAUGCCGCGUGGGUGAAGAAGGCCUCCGGGUUGUAA